RNAcentral lists this ribosomal RNA (571 nucleotides) under uncultured bacterium. RNAcentral describes it as "partial 16S ribosomal RNA". It matches the Rfam family "Bacterial small subunit ribosomal RNA", at positions 355 to 919 of the family's 1533-position model. The record is from RNAcentral.
UGGGGAAUUUUGGACAAUGGGCGAAAGCCUGAUCCAGCAAUGCCGCGUGUGUGAAGAAGGCCUUCGGGUUGUAAAGCACUUUUGUCCGGAAAGAAAUCCUUGGCUCUAAUACAGUCGGGGGAUGACGGUACCGGAAGAAUAAGCACCGGCUAACUACGUGCCAGCAGCCGCGGUAAUACGUAGGGUGCAAGCGUUAAUCGGAAUUACUGGGCGUAAAGCGUGCGCAGGCGGUUUGCUAAGACCGAUGUGAAAUCCCCGGGCUCAACCUGGGAACUGCAUUGGUGACUGGCAGGCUAGAGUAUGGCAGAGGGGGGUAGAAUUCCACGUGUAGCAGUGAAAUGCGUAGAGAUGUGGAGGAAUACCGAUGGCGAAGGCAGCCCCCUGGGCCAAUACUGACGCUCAUGCACGAAAGCGUGGGGAGCAAACAGGAUUAGAUACCCUGGUAGUCCACGCCCUAAACGAUGUCAACUAGUUGUUGGGGAUUCAUUCCUUAGUAACGUAGCUAACGCGUGAAGUUGACCGCCUGGGGGAGUACGGUCGCAAGAUUAAAACUCAAAGGAAUUGACGGGGU